UAUGUUUAGGUGUAAGAUGCACAGUGAAUUUUGAUUUCAUAAGGUAUAGUUUAAUUCUAUAAAGCAUAA
RNAcentral lists this transfer RNA (69 nucleotides) under Graphosoma rubrolineatum. RNAcentral describes it as "tRNA-Gln". The record is from RNAcentral. Lineage: Eukaryota; Metazoa; Arthropoda; Insecta; Hemiptera; Pentatomidae.